Stegostoma tigrinum is the source of this 591-nucleotide long non-coding RNA. RefSeq lists it as uncharacterized. The record is from RefSeq and is a predicted model, not a curated record. Lineage: Eukaryota; Metazoa; Chordata; Chondrichthyes; Orectolobiformes; Stegostomatidae. The transcript has 3 exons.
CAGAGAAUUCAACUCUCGAUCCCGAUGACUUCAGAGGAGGUAGGGUUCAAUGGCAUCAGCAGCAUUUGUUACCCAUCCUUUAAGUGUCGAGGAAACUGAAUGGCUCGCUGUUUGUUUCAAAUUCCUUCAGCUGCUUCAUUGCCAGAACUGACUGAGGCAUUAAGAGGGACGCUUAAGCUGAAGUUGAGAAGACUGAUGGAAGUUUAUUUCUCUCAUGGUGUAUUUGCUUCUGUCAUCUCAUGGAACUCACUUUAAAUCCAACACAUUAAUACAGACAUGAUGGGCCAAGUGACCUCGUUCUGAAAUGUAGCAACUCUCACUGAGAUUAUAAUAUUUUUACAAUGUAGAAUAUUGUGAUAAUUAGCUGUCGCCAGUUGCUGGGCACUGUGCCUCAGUUAUUUGAAAGUCAUGGACUCAAAACUUGUUUCGUUACAAAAUCCAAGCCAACACUUCAGUACUGUCCUGCCAAAGGCAUUGGCACUCAUAUGCAAUAUUAAACUGAGUCCUCGAUAUGCCCUCUCAAAUGGGCAUAAAUGACCCCAUGGUACAAGUAUGAAGAGCAGAAGGGGAAUUCAUCCUGAUCAAUAUUUA